GGGGGGUAGAAUUUCAGGUGUAGCGGUGAAAUGCGUAGAGAUCUGAAGGAAUACCGGUGGCGAAGGCGGCCCCCCUGGACAGAUACUGACACUCAGAUGCGAAAGCGUGGGGAGCAAACAGGAUUAGAUACCCUGGUAGUCCACGCCGUAAACGAUGUCUACUUGGAGGUUGUGGCCUUGAGCCGUGGCUUUCGGAGCUAACGCGUUAAGUAGACCGCCUGGGGAGUACGGUCGCAAGAUUAAAACUCAAAUGAAUUGACGGGGGCCCGCACAAGCGGUGGAGCAUGUGGUUUAAUUCGAUGCAACGCGAAGAACCUUACCUACUCUUGACAUCUACAGAAGCCAGCGGAGACGCAGGUGUGCCUUCGGGAACUGUAAGACAGGUGCUGCAUGGCUGUCGUCAGCUCGUGUUGUGAAAUGUUGGGUUAAGUCCCGCAACGAGCGCAACCCUUAUCCUUGUUUGCCAGCACUUCGGGUGGGAACUCCAGGGAGACUGCCGGUGAUAAACCGGAGGAAGGUGGGGACGACGUCAAGUCAUCAUGGCCCUUACGAGUAGGGCUACACACGUGCUACAAUGGCGCAUACAGAGGGCGGCCAACUUGCGAAAGUGAGCGAAUCCCAAAAAGUGCGUCGUAGUCCGGAUUGGAGUCUGCAACUCGACUCCAUGAAGUCGGAAUCGCUAGUAAUCGUGGAUCAGAAUGCCACGGUGAAUACGUUCCCGGGCCUUGUACACACCGCCCGUCACACCAUGGGAGUGGGCUGCAAAAGAAGUGGGUAGUUUAACCUUCGGGAGGACGCUCACCACUUUGUGGUUCAUGACUGGGGUGAAGUCGUAACAAGGUAACCG
RNAcentral lists this ribosomal RNA (847 nucleotides) under uncultured bacterium. Its description in RNAcentral is "bacterial SSU rRNA". It matches the Rfam family "Bacterial small subunit ribosomal RNA", at positions 656 to 1502 of the family's 1533-position model. The record is from RNAcentral.